CUUUUCUCGUUAGUUUUUGAAGUAUGGCCUGCCCGCUGACUUUGGUGUUGAAGGGCCGCGGUAUUUUGACCGUGCAAAGGUAGCAUAGUCAUUAGUUCUUUAAUUGUGAUCUGGUAUGAAUGGCUUGACGAGGCAUGGGCUGUCUUAAUUUUGAAUUGUUUAUUGAAUUUGGUCUUUGAGUUAAAAUUCUUAGAUGUUUUUAUGGGACGAGAAGACCCUAUAGAGUUUAACAUUUGUUAUGGUCCCCUUUCUGUUUGUGAGGGUUCAUUGGGCCGUUUAAUAUGUUUUGUUGGGGUGAUGGGAGGGAUUAAUUUAACCCCUCCUUUUUAUUAUUAUAUUUAUUUAUAUUUACUUGAUCC
This 359-nucleotide ribosomal RNA is filed under the name Reticulitermes flaviceps. RNAcentral's name for it is "partial large subunit ribosomal RNA". Lineage: Eukaryota; Metazoa; Arthropoda; Insecta; Blattodea; Rhinotermitidae. The record is from RNAcentral.